GAUGCACACACAUGUUCCCCCAUAUUGUGUUAAAGUUGUUUUUUUUUUUUUAUGAAGUUAAUAUAUGGAAAGCAAGACACACUUCAAAUGGUGUCGUCACCUUGAAUUAAAUAAUUUAUCAUGGUUAUCCUUCACCUUUUAACAGCAAAAACAGAAGCUGCUGAGCCAAUUUAUGGAACCCCGCGAGAAUUCAGUCCAAGCAUAGAUCAGUGUGAGUUACAUACAUUGUGUUUGUGAUUAAACUCUGGGAAAGUUCUUUGAAAUAUAAUAAUUUUUUCCCCCCAGUAACAAAGUCUCGAGUAGCAGACCAAGGCAAAAAGUUCCGUCAGGACAAUAAAAAGAUGAGCAGCUCAGAAGGAGAUGGCCUGGACCUGUCUUUUGAGGAAGUGUUAGUCGGUCGAGUCAAUUCUAUCGAGAGAUUUGUUAUCGAGCAUCUCUCUGAUGUGAUGGAAACACACAGAGACCUCCAGGAAACAGUAAAUAGCACAACGAUGAUCAGUGACAUGGCUGCAAUGACAAGACCGAGCUCAGCGCCUUAAAAAAAAAAAAUAAUAAUAUAUAUAUAUAUAUAUCACACGUAGCAGAGCAAGGCCAAGAGAUAGAGGAGCUGAGAAAGCAGCUGGAAGGAAAGGGCAGCGGUGCUCCUGCACACUCAGGAGGCCAGAAGAGACCAGCUUCCUCGGCCGAGUGUGCUCCUGAACGGAAGCAGAGACGGUCCGAAGAGCUGGACGAGAUCCUGGAGCCAUUCUGGCCAGAGAGAUCAGAUGCACGGGAGAGGCUGACUGAAAGGCAGCAGGCCUUCUUCAACUAUAUGAUGGACGUGCUGAAAAUCAAAGAUCGGAGAAACCUGGAGACGAACGCGACGACGGUCCUCAACGAAGGGGUUUCCAGGGGCCUCUGGGAGGAGGACUGGACUCCUGCAGAAGUAAAAAAAAAAAAAAAAAAAAAAAAAGCCAAACACAAAACUAAACGUUAAGGUACUGGUUAUAUACUUAAGAAGUUGCAUUUGUUCAAAAGAUACAUAUACGAACUAUAAGUAAUAUAAAGCACUUAAAGUGAUUGAAGUAAAGCUGAUGGUUUAAAAAAAAAAAACCCACCUGAAAUAAAAGACACAUACAUGCAACUCUAAAUAGAAAAAUAAAUAAGCUGUCAUUUAUAUGCAUUCAUAAAGUCAAAAGGUAAACUAACAAUGUGGUCUAAGUUUAAGUGUUAAAAAAGUAAAUAAAUUUUGCCAUACCAAAAGUGGACGUUUCUGUAGAAUGACCCAGUUACAGCUCGGUAAGGAACCUAAACAAAGAACCACGAAACACAAGGCCUCUACAGACUUUAUUCACGUUCACGCAAUCUCACUAAUUCGAUCCAGGUUCAAUGAGUUAGGAUAAUUUGAUGUGCACGCUUAUAAUUAAGCAGCCCUUAAUGUCGAUCAUGGAUCAAAUCUAUCAACGUGGCAACCAGUUGAAUAUUUGUGGCGUCUUAAUGCAGCUGAGACAUUGUGAUUUCCUCUGUACUGACACGCCACAGGUGUAUUUUUCACCUGUAGACGUUAGAAAGUCGGGCAGAUAAAUAAAUAAAUAAAUGUUGCUGUCAGGAGUGGGCGAGGCUUAUGCAUGCGCGCUAAACAGAUGGAAUAAUUCUGAAUAAAACAUUUGUUGUUGUACAGUAAAUGUGAGUCGUGUUGAAUUUGAAUUCUACACAUAAGUGUAUUUUUAUGAUGGCAGUAACUGUAAAUCAAAU
Molecule: long non-coding RNA, 1734 nt
Organism: Carassius auratus (goldfish)
Lineage: Eukaryota; Metazoa; Chordata; Actinopteri; Cypriniformes; Cyprinidae
Source: Ensembl